UACCGUGACCAGGAUUCGAACCUUGGUUAUUGUGUCCACAACGCAAUGUCCUAUUCACUAAAUGAUCAGGGC
Molecule: non-coding RNA, 72 nt
Organism: Cordylochernes scorpioides
Lineage: Eukaryota; Metazoa; Arthropoda; Arachnida; Pseudoscorpiones; Chernetidae
Source: the annotation of a GenBank genome assembly